RNAcentral lists this ribosomal RNA (678 nucleotides) under uncultured Parcubacteria group bacterium. RNAcentral's name for it is "bacterial SSU rRNA". It matches the Rfam family "Bacterial small subunit ribosomal RNA", at positions 622 to 1201 of the family's 1533-position model. The record is from RNAcentral.
CGCUACGGAAACGGCAAAGCUAGAGGAUGUGAGAGGUCAAGGGAACCCAUAGUGUAGGGGUGAAAUCCGUUGAUAUUAUGGGGAACACCGAAAGCGAAGGCACUUGACUGGCACAUUCCUGACGCUCAGGGACGACAGCCAGGGUAGCGAACGGGAUUAGAUACCCCGGUAGUCCUGGCCGUAAACGCUGUUCACUAGCUUUUCGGGGCAUCGACCCCCUGAGAGGCGUAGCUAACGCGCUAAGUGAACCGCCUGGGUAGUACGAGCGCAAGCUUAAAACUCAAAGGAAUAGACGGGGGCUCGCACAAGCGGUGGAGCAUGCGGUUUAAUUCGACGAUAAGCGAAGAACCUCACCAAGGCUUGACACCCAUCUGACAGGUCCGAGAAACCGGACCCUCCUUCGGGCAGAUGGGCAGGUGAUGCAUGGCCGUCGUCAGUUCGUGGCUUGAGCUGUUCCCUUAAGUGGGGAAACGAACGCAACCCUCACCGUAUGUUAUAUGUGUCAUACGGUACUGCCUACCACUGAGCGCAUUUUCAUUUUGAAAAUGCGCGGAUUAAGGAGAAAAGAUCAAGGUUAAAAGAUUUUUUCUUUCAUCCUUCUUCUUUAAUCUUUGAUCGCGCACAAAGUGCGCUUUGUGGUGGGAGGAAGGAGGGGAUGACGCCAGGUCAGCAUGUCCC